This 917-nucleotide ribosomal RNA is filed under the name uncultured bacterium. RNAcentral's name for it is "bacterial SSU rRNA". It matches the Rfam family "Bacterial small subunit ribosomal RNA", at positions 12 to 924 of the family's 1533-position model. The record is from RNAcentral.
UUUGAUCCUGGCUCAGGAUGAACGCUAGCUACAGGCUUAACACAUGCAAGUCGAGGGGCAGCAUGACGAUAGCUUGCUAUUGUUGAUGGCGACCGGCGCACGGGUGAGUAACGCGUAUCCAACCUGCCCUUGUCCAUCGGAUAACCCGUCGAAAGGCGGCCUAACACGAUAUGCAGUCCACAGAAGGCAUCUGACGCGGACGAAAUGUGAAGGAGAAGGAUGGGGAUGCGUCUGAUUAGCUUGUUGGCGGGGUAACGGCCCACCAAGGCGACGAUCAGUAGGGGUUCUGAGAGGAAGGUCCCCCACAUUGGAACUGAGACACGGUCCAAACUCCUACGGGAGGCAGCAGUGAGGAAUAUUGGUCAAUGGGCGAGAGCCUGAACCAGCCAAGUAGCGUGCAGGAUGACGGCCCUAUGGGUUGUAAACUGCUUUUAUGCGGGGAUAAAGUGAGUCACGUGUGGCUUAUUGCAGGUACCGCAUGAAUAAGGACCGGCUAAUUCCGUGCCAGCAGCCGCGGUAAUACGGAAGGUCCGGGCGUUAUCCGGAUUUAUUGGGUUUAAAGGGAGCGUAGGCCGUCUGAUAAGCGUGUUGUGAAAUGUCGGGGCUCAACCUGGGCAUUGCAGCGCGAACUGUGAGACUUGAGUGCGCGGGAAGUAGGCGGAAUUCGUCGUGUAGCGGUGAAAUGCUUAGAUAUGACGAAGAACUCCGAUUGCGAAGGCAGCCUGCUGUAGCGCAACUGACGCUGAAGCUCGAAAGCGUGGGUAUCGAACAGGAUUAGAUACCCUGGUAGUCCACGCGGUAAACGAUGGAUGCUCGCUGUUUGCGUCUGACGUAAGCGGCCAAGCGAAAGCGUUAAGCAUCCCACCUGGGGAGUACGCCGGCAACGGUGAAACUCAAAUGAAUUGACGGAAGGGCGA